Hippocampus comes (tiger tail seahorse) is the source of this 628-nucleotide long non-coding RNA. RefSeq lists it as uncharacterized. The record is from RefSeq and is a predicted model, not a curated record. The transcript is spliced from 2 exons. Lineage: Eukaryota; Metazoa; Chordata; Actinopteri; Syngnathiformes; Syngnathidae.
GUCUGGAGGCCAUGCUGCUGUCCCGGCUAAGACUGCACAGACACGCAUAAAAAUCAGUGUCUGACAGACACUCGGAGCUGAUGUGCAGUAUCCUCGACUACACAGGAACACAGAGUACAGCGCCAGACAUGCCAGCCAGCAUCAAUUGGCACCAAAAUCACAUAACGGAAGUGACAGGCGGAAAACUCCUCUGUUCAAAAUUGGUCUACUUCAUACAUUUGAUUAAUACAAAUGGUCAGUAAGUUUGACACAAUACCACAUUUUUAGGAUUUUCAUACAUCAUGAUAAUUGAUCGUAUGGUACUGUGGGGGGUUUUAAUACCACUGAUAGAAUGAUAUCAGAUGAGAAUUCAAGUCGGACGCAUCCUUUUUAAGAGCAAUUAACUUAAUUCUCAAGAAAAUGUAACACUGCCAUUCAAAUACAGAACAAUAAAUAACACGGGUCAAAUUUUUACAAUUUUUUUUUUUUAACUGGCAAUUCAAGUACAUUUUUCCUACAUUUUUUUGCACAGAUUCUAAUUCUGCCCGUGUUUUUUUUUCUGGAGCAAAUCACCUUCUCAUUAGGGCUGGGAAUGAACUCGGUUGUGUCAACCACAAAAACGCAUGCCACAAGAUGUUUUUUAAUCUUU